Molecule: ribosomal RNA, 458 nt
Filed under: uncultured bacterium
Lineage: Bacteria
Description: partial 16S ribosomal RNA
Rfam family: Bacterial small subunit ribosomal RNA
Source: RNAcentral
CUACGGGUGGCUGCAGUGAGGAAUAUUGGUCAAUGGACGCAAGUCUGAACCAGCCAUGUCGCGUGAAGGAUGACUGCCCUAUGGGUUGUAAACUUCUUUUAUAUGGGAAGAAUAUGAUUACGAGUAAUCAAAUGCCGGUACCAUAUGAAUAAGCAUCGGCUAACUCCGUGCCAGCAGCCGCGGUAAUACGGAGGAUGCAAGCGUUAUCCGGAUUUAUUGGGUUUAAAGGGUGUGUAGGUGGGCCUUUAAGUCAGUGGUGAAAUCCUGCAGCUCAACUGUAGAACUGCCAUUGAAACUGAAGGUCUUGAGUAUAGACGAGGUAGGCGGAAUGAGUUAUGUAGCGGUGAAAUGCAUAGAUAUAACUCAGAACACCGAUUGCGAAGGCAGCUUACUAGACUAUUACUGACACUGAUGCACGAAAGCGUGGGUAGCGAACAGGAUUAGAUACCCGCGUAGUC